UAUGUUUGUUCUUAAUGUUGGU
Molecule: non-coding RNA, 22 nt
Filed under: Arabidopsis thaliana (thale cress)
Lineage: Eukaryota; Viridiplantae; Streptophyta; Magnoliopsida; Brassicales; Brassicaceae
Source: RNAcentral